RNAcentral lists this ribosomal RNA (251 nucleotides) under uncultured prokaryote. Its description in RNAcentral is "partial 16S rRNA". It matches the Rfam family "Bacterial small subunit ribosomal RNA", at positions 525 to 775 of the family's 1533-position model. The record is from RNAcentral.
ACGGAGGGUGCGAGCGUUAAUCGGAAUCACUGGGCGUAAAGCGCACGUAGGCGGUGUCGUAAGACGGAUGUGAAAGCCCUCGGCUCAACCGGGGAACUGCAUUCGAUACUGCGUCGCUUGAGUGCCGGAGAGGGUGACGGAAUUCCAGGUGUAGCAGUGAAAUGCGUAGAUAUGUGGAGGAACACCGAUGGCGAAGGCAGCCACCUGGGCGGCAACUGACGCUGAGGUGCGAAAGCGUGGGGAUCAAACAG